This 241-nucleotide long non-coding RNA is filed under the name Pan troglodytes (chimpanzee). RNAcentral describes it as "long non-coding RNA NONPTRT008381". The record is from RNAcentral. Lineage: Eukaryota; Metazoa; Chordata; Mammalia; Primates; Hominidae.
GGGAAGGAGGCGGGGCGUGGGCAAGAGGAGGCGGAGACAGCUAUGGGGUUCUUCUGAGCAACGCGCUGGCGCGGCUCAGAGGCUUCAAAGAUCACUUCACCUUUUGCCGACAGCUAAACAUCAGCAUCUGCCCGCUCAGCCAGACGGCGGCGCGCUUCCAGGUCAUCGUUUAUAAUCCCCUGGGGCGGAAGGUGAAUUGGAUGGUACGGCUGCCGGUCAGCGAAGGCGUUUUCGUUGUGAA